CGAGAAAGAUCCAAGGACUGCUA
This 23-nucleotide transfer RNA is filed under the name Gymnobelideus leadbeateri (Leadbeater's possum). Its description in RNAcentral is "partial tRNA-Ser". Lineage: Eukaryota; Metazoa; Chordata; Mammalia; Diprotodontia; Petauridae. The record is from RNAcentral.